CUCUUAGCAAGGGUCACAAAAUCUUCCUCGUAUGCGGAUGAGGCAGGCCCCACUUCAUGCUAAGCUAUCAUAGAUGGCACGAUGGGGGAGAGAGAAACCAACCCCAACCUUGUUGGCAAUGGGGUCUAGCAAAUUGGAGGUGGACUCAGAGCUCCGAUCAACUUUGAGGUAGUAGGAAGGGCCACACCCAAUGGCUGAUCGAUGACUACUUUUGGGGUGUCAUCAACCUCGAUGAGAUUGGCGCUCAAGUUCUCCAUCGAUCAAGAGGUCGGU
RNAcentral lists this long non-coding RNA (273 nucleotides) under Elaeis guineensis (African oil palm). Its description in RNAcentral is "long non-coding RNA (EGUI_LNC007419)". The record is from RNAcentral. Lineage: Eukaryota; Viridiplantae; Streptophyta; Magnoliopsida; Arecales; Arecaceae.